AAUAACACAAACGAAUUAAAAUCUCAAAUAAAUCUGAUAUGUGUUAAGAAAAUAUUUUUGGAUUUUACAGAUAUCAAAAAGAAUUUAAAAUGAACUAAAAACUAUUGAAAACAAAAUAAUUCACAAAAUAUAUUUAAUGAAGUCAUAAAAAUAAUUAAAAAUCAGAAUAUGAAACUAGAUUUUUCAAGAAAAUUUUUGCCAUUGGUCUUAUAUUUUUGUGACUUCAAAUAAAAUAGUUAUGAAUUUUUGAAAUAAAAAGGAAUUAAAAGAAAAUAAAACAGAAAAUAGAAAAUAGGAAAAAUCAGCGCCCAUUGAAUUGAAUUCAUUAAUUGACGUGGCUAUAUCCAAAGGCUCAGAGGCGCGGUCUCACCAUGGUCUUGGUCAAGCGCGCAACAUGAGGUAUUAAAAUAAGUUAAACACAUGCACGACCAUGAUUAGAACAAAUGAGAGAGAUCCAAAGGCUUGGAGUCAUCCACGUGGGGAUGGUGGUGGAAACCACCAUCUUCUCCGCCCAGUUAACAACUUCCGG
RNAcentral lists this long non-coding RNA (529 nucleotides) under Lathyrus oleraceus (garden pea). Its description in RNAcentral is "Pisum sativum (pea) long non-coding RNA (PSAT_LNC005964)". The record is from RNAcentral. Lineage: Eukaryota; Viridiplantae; Streptophyta; Magnoliopsida; Fabales; Fabaceae.